Molecule: non-coding RNA, 28 nt
Filed under: Bombyx mori (domestic silkworm)
Lineage: Eukaryota; Metazoa; Arthropoda; Insecta; Lepidoptera; Bombycidae
Source: RNAcentral
UCGGUCAAGUGAUGGGAUGCACCUCGGG